This 129-nucleotide ribosomal RNA is filed under the name Neogale vison (American mink). The record is from RNAcentral. Lineage: Eukaryota; Metazoa; Chordata; Mammalia; Carnivora; Mustelidae.
GUCUACGGCCAUACCACCCUGAACGCGCCCGAUCUUGUCUGAUCUCGGAAGCUAAGCAGGGUCGGGCCUGGUUAGUACUUGGAUGGAUGGCUAUGUGUUUCCACCUUAGGACCUCCUUUGCCAUAUCCC